UACCUCAAAAAACCACAACAGUCUGUUUCAUCCGUAUAGGAAUCAUCAGGUGGUCCUGAUGAUUCCUAUACGGAUGAAAUGGCUGAUGAUUCCUAUACGGAUGAAACAGACUGUUGUGGUUUUU
Paramuricea clavata is the source of this 124-nucleotide non-coding RNA. Lineage: Eukaryota; Metazoa; Cnidaria; Anthozoa; Malacalcyonacea; Plexauridae. The record is from the annotation of a GenBank genome assembly.